AACUCGAGAGCAGCCUCCAUGGGCACACAGGAGGGCUGGUGCCUGCUGCUCUGCCUGGCUCUAUCUGGAGCAGCAGAAACCAGUGAGUCUGGGAGUCGGGGAGAGCUGGCUGGGAGAAGAGCUACUGAAGCCCCAGGGUGCCACCCUCCCCGAGAUUCCAGAAGAGCAAAGGGGCCGGGGAUGACCCAAUCGCCUUCUAAGCCCAACAGGGGAAAGGCUCAGCGGCUGGCAAAGGAAGGAACCAAUAGUGUGUGUGGAGGGAGGGUGGGGACUCCACAGGGAAAAUGCUAAAGAGGGGCUGCCUCUGUGGCUGUGGUCAGGAGCCACUGUCCUACAGAGAGGGCACUGGCCUGGGAGCUGACACUUCAGAAGAGGAAAGGACUCCCCAGAGCCCCACCCAGCAGAGGGGCAGUGGCGGGCAGUGGACGUGGUCCUAGACUGCUUCCUGGCGAAGGACAGUGCGCACCGUGGAGCUCUCGCCAGCAGUGAGGACAGGGCAAGGGCCUCCCUUGUGCUGAAGCAGGUGCCAGUGCUGGACGAUGGCUCCCUGGAGGACUUCACUGAUUUCCAAGGGGGCACGCUGGCCCAAGAUGACCCACCUAUUAUCUUCGAGGCCUCAGUGGACCUGGUCCAGAUUCCCCAGGCCGAGGCCUUGCUCCAUGCUGACUGCAGUGGGAAGGAGGUGACCUGUGAGAUCUCCCGUUACUUUCUCCAGAUGACAGAGACCACUGUUAAGACAGCAGCUUGGUUCAUGGCCAACGUGCAGGUCUCUGGAGGGGGACCUAGCAUCUCCUUGGUGAUGAAGACUCCCAGGGUCGCCAAGAAUGAGGCUCUCUGGCACCCGACGCUGAACUUGCCCCUGAGCCCCCAGGGGACUGUGCGAACUGCAGUGGAGUUCCAGGUGAUGACACAGACCCAAUCCCUGAGCUUCCUGCUGGGGUCCUCAGCCUCCUUGGACUGUGGCUUCUCCAUGGCACCGGGCUUGGACCUCAUCAGUGUGGAGUGGCGACUGCAGCACAAGGGCAGGGGACGAGGGGACCUACAUUUGCCAGAUCACCACCUCUCUGUACCGAGCUCAGCAGAUCAUCCAGCUCAACAUCCAAGCUUCCCCUAAAGUACGACUGAGCUUGGCAAACGAAGCUCUGCUGCCCACCCUCAUCUGCGACAUUGCUGGCUAUUACCCUCUGGAUGUGGUGGUGACAUGGACCCGAGAGGAGCUGGGUGGAUCCCCAGCCCAAGUCUCUGGUGCCUCCUUCUCCAGCCUCAGGCAAAGCGUGGCAGGCACCUACAGCAUCUCCUCCUCUCUCACCGCAGAACCUGGCUCUGCAGGUGCCACUUACACCUGCCAGGUCACACACAUCUCUCUGGAGGAGCCCCUUGGGGCCAGCACCCAGGUUGUCCCACCAGAGCGGAGAACAGCCUUGGGAGUCAUCUUUGCCAGCAGUCUCUUCCUUCUUGCACUGAUGUUCCUGGGGCUUCAGAGACGGCAAGCACCUACAGGACUUGGGCUGCUUCAGGCUGAACGCUGGGAAACCACUUCCUGUGCUGACACACAGAGCUCCCAUCUCCAUGAAGACCGCACAGCGCGUGUAAGCCAGCCCAGCUUACACGCUAAAGUGACGUGAGACUACUAGAAAGAAACGACACCCUUCCCCCCAAGCCCCCCCCAGCUACUCCAACCCAAACAACAACCAAGCCAGUUUAAUGCUUUGCAGCACUGCUCUCAAAUUGUGAUGCUCCUGCCUGCAAGGCAUCAGCUCGGUCAUCCAGCUCUGACAGCUUCUGGUCCCUCUCCAGGACCUUGUCCACGUUCACACGUAUGAUGUCCACCACCUGAGGAGGGCACAGAAACAAAGCUGCUAAGCUUCCUGCCAGAGACAGAGGAAAGGACAACAACCAGAGAAUCACAAGUCUGGCCCUGUGCAACUCUAAAGGGUGCUUUGCCUCUCAGGGCCUUUGACUAUUCUCCUAUGAAAAAAGGAGAAAAGAUAAGAAGUUCCCUUUUGUUUCCAAACUCCUAGAUUUGGAAACUUUCAGAGAAACAGCUAUCUACCUACCUCCUCCACUUGUGCCUGGGUUUGCUGUAGUCGUCUGUUACUGGUCAUGUUAGGAGGAGGGCCAGGGGGACCCCCACCUGGGGCAGUCCCUUCUGUCCCUUCAGCAGGUGGCUGAGCUGGAGCAGACCUGUGGAAAGACAUGUGCAGAGUACACAAAGUGACCAAGACAAGAAAGGAGCUGGGCGUGGUAGCACACACCUGUAAUCCCAGCUACUCAAGAGGCUGAAGUGGGAGGAGCGCUUGAGCCCAGGAGUUCGAGGCCAGCCUGGGCAUCAUAGCGAGACUCCAUCUCU
Molecule: small RNA, 2350 nt
Filed under: Pan troglodytes (chimpanzee)
Lineage: Eukaryota; Metazoa; Chordata; Mammalia; Primates; Hominidae
Description: processed transcript
Source: RNAcentral